ACCAUCAAUACAAGGUAAUGUUUAAUCAUUUGGGCAGCUCCUAUCCUUUCAAAGUUGUUUUAAUCAAUUGGUUGGGUUUUACUGUGCAUCAUAUCUUCCGUCAUUCAGACCACCUUACCAUCAUCAGUGGCCAAUUGGUUCUGCCAACACAAACAGGUGGCACGGAACAGGCGAUGAUGCAACACCUCUGGGCAUUGUCCGACAGGACAGGCCUUCAACCCCUGGAAUCGAUAUCAUUCC
Molecule: non-coding RNA, 240 nt
Organism: Paramuricea clavata
Lineage: Eukaryota; Metazoa; Cnidaria; Anthozoa; Malacalcyonacea; Plexauridae
Source: the annotation of a GenBank genome assembly